RNAcentral lists this ribosomal RNA (287 nucleotides) under uncultured bacterium. Its description in RNAcentral is "partial 16S ribosomal RNA". It matches the Rfam family "Bacterial small subunit ribosomal RNA", at positions 202 to 477 of the family's 1533-position model. The record is from RNAcentral.
UAAGGCGGAUUUAUCUGCCGCUCAUGGAUGGGCCUGCGGUGCAUUAGCUAGUUGGUGAGAUAGUAGCUCACCAAGGCGACGAUGCAUAGCCGACCUGAGAGGGUGAUCGGCCACACUGGGACUGAGACACGGCCCAGACUCCUACGGGAGGCAGCAGUAGGGAAUCUUCCGCAAUGGACGAAAGUCUGACGGAGCAACGCCGCGUGAGUGAUGAAGGGUUUCGGCUCGUAAAACUCUGUUGUUAAGGAAGAAUACUUGAGGUAGUAACUGGCCUUGAGAUGACGGUA